This 882-nucleotide long non-coding RNA is filed under the name Cimex lectularius (bed bug). Its description in RNAcentral is "uncharacterized LOC106671422, transcript variant X1". Lineage: Eukaryota; Metazoa; Arthropoda; Insecta; Hemiptera; Cimicidae. The record is from RNAcentral.
UAUUCCCGUAUUAAAGGGAAGAGAAAAAGUCAGUCAUUGAAACCAUAUUGAAGCGGACGGGUAAACGUAGCGGCCUUUGUUGCUUUUCCUCGAGACUCCUUCGAUCCAGACGUCCCGGGAGAAAACUCUCCGACUCCCAUUGGUCGAGGGGGGGAUGCUGCUGACCUUUUGGCCCAUCUAACGGUACCGCUGGGAAAGGGUUGGAUGACCGUCUCACAACUUAGUGCACGUUGGACCAAAGAGAAGCUGCGACACGGGAUCGUCAAAGGAGGAGACGUGGGUCGAUAUCGACGGUUUACGUUCUGAAGUUCAAAUUCAGCCCCCCUCCUUCUAAAAUGAAAACCGAUGCAAAUUAGUUGGGAUGGUGCAGUGGAAGGAGAUGAGGCUGAUGUUAUUAUAGAGGGAGUGAUGAAGGCCAGGGAGUUUAGUUUGAAGACGAGGCCUAGCUUCGAUCGGCCUCUAAACUCUAAUUAGUUUAGGCCUGAUUAGACCAACCCAUCGGGAGGCUAAUUUUUGGGGAAAUCAACUUACACGCUAAGGUUCCAAGGCUAAAAUUAUUUUUGUAAAUAAAUCAUUUUUGAUGGAGUAUGUUCUGAUAUAUGGAUAUAUGGACUGAUACUCAAAUUUAAUAUUAAAUAAACUAGGUUUCAAAGCUAAAAUAAUUUUUUUGUAAAGAAAUUAUUUUUGAUGGAGUAUGACGCUGAUAUAUGGACAUAUUGAAUGACCUCAAAUUUAAUAUUAAAUAAACUAGGUAAUAAAUUGACUGUUGCUGCUUCAACCAUGCUCCAGCAAUCAAUGGUGACGGAUUUUUAAACAGAAGAAAAUACUUGGGAAUGGAGAUCAUCGCUAGUUAUAACAAAGGAAAAUAAAGUUCAGCACACC